GUCCACGCCGUAAACGUUGCCUACUAGGUCUGGGGAGUAUCGACCCUCUCCGGACCGAAGCUAACGCGUUAAGUAGGCCGCCUGGGAAGUACGAGCGCAAGCUUAAAACUCAAAGGAAUAGACGGGGACCCGCACAAGCGGUGGAGCACGCGGUUCAAUUCGUCUCUAAGCGAGGAACCUCACCAGGGCUUGAAAUGCAGCUGCACAUCCAAGGAAACUUGGACUUCUUCGAGAGUGCUGCGUAGGUGUUGCAUUGUUGUCGU
Molecule: ribosomal RNA, 263 nt
Filed under: uncultured bacterium
Lineage: Bacteria
Description: partial 16S ribosomal RNA
Rfam family: Bacterial small subunit ribosomal RNA
Source: RNAcentral